This is a transfer RNA of Thecamonas trahens ATCC 50062, 74 nucleotides long. It matches the Rfam family "tRNA". Rfam says of the family: Transfer RNA (tRNA) molecules are approximately 80 nucleotides in length. Their secondary structure includes four short double-helical elements and three loops (D, anti-codon, and T loops). Lineage: Eukaryota; Apusomonadida; Apusomonadidae. The record is from Rfam.
GCCGCGCUAGCUCAGAUGGCAGAGCGCACGCCUUUUAAGCGUCGAGGUCGCGGGUUCGAGCCCCGUGCGCGGUG